RNAcentral lists this ribosomal RNA (169 nucleotides) under Yaldwynopsis saguili. Its description in RNAcentral is "partial 16S rRNA". The record is from RNAcentral. Lineage: Eukaryota; Metazoa; Arthropoda; Malacostraca; Decapoda; Homolidae.
UCUUUAUAUAAAUGUUUAAUUUUUAUUGAUAAAUUGUUUAAUAAUUUAAAUUAAAUAAUAUAUUGUAUUGGGGCGAUAGGAGUAUAAAUAUUGUAACUGCUUGUAUUUUAAUACUUAUAUUUUUGAUUAUUGUUUUUAAUGAUCCUUUAAAAGAUUAAGAGAUUAAGUU